GCCUGGGUGGCUCAGUCAGUUAAGCGUCUGACUUCAGCUCAGGUCACGAUCUCACGGUCCAUGGGUUCGAGCCCCAUGCGGGGCU
This 85-nucleotide transfer RNA is filed under the name Felis catus (domestic cat). It matches the Rfam family "tRNA". Rfam says of the family: Transfer RNA (tRNA) molecules are approximately 80 nucleotides in length. Their secondary structure includes four short double-helical elements and three loops (D, anti-codon, and T loops). Further hydrogen bonds mediate the characteristic L-shaped molecular structure. tRNAs have two regions of fundamental functional importance: the anti-codon, which is responsible for specific mRNA codon recognition, and the 3' end, to which the tRNAs corresponding amino acid is attached (by aminoacyl-tRNA synthetases). tRNAs cope with the degeneracy of the genetic code in two manners: having more than one tRNA (with a specific anti-codon) for a particular amino acid; and 'wobble' base-pairing, i.e. permitting non-standard base-pairing at the 3rd anti-codon position. RNAcentral also lists the same sequence under 5 other names. Lineage: Eukaryota; Metazoa; Chordata; Mammalia; Carnivora; Felidae. The record is from Rfam by way of RNAcentral.